RNAcentral lists this ribosomal RNA (253 nucleotides) under uncultured bacterium. Its description in RNAcentral is "partial 16S ribosomal RNA". It matches the Rfam family "Bacterial small subunit ribosomal RNA", at positions 524 to 776 of the family's 1533-position model. The record is from RNAcentral.
UACGAAGGGGGCUAGCGUUGCUCGGAAUCACUGGGCGUAAAGCGCACGUAGGCGGCUUGUUAAGUCAGGGGUGAAAUCCCCGGGCUCAACCCGGGAACUGCGUCCGAUACUGGCAGGCUUGAAUUCGGGAGAGGGAUGUGGAAUUCCAGGUGUAGCGGUGAAAUGCGUAGAUAUCUGGAGGAACACCGGUGGCGAAGGCGGCAUCCUGGACCGAUAUUGACGCUGAUGCGCGAAAGCCAGGGGAGCAAACGGG